AGGCACCCAUGCGUGGGGAACAGCUCCACGCCUAUAGGAUGGGAGCGCCUCUGAGGGAGGGGCGCUCUACAGUGGGCGUGACCCUGCUCUCCCCAGCCCUCGCUCCCCACCUGUCCCUGCCUAGACAAGGGCUCUGCACAAAGCAGGUGGUUAACACACAUUGGCAAAUAAAAAUCCCCGGAUAGAGAAAGAAGUGAAGAGUUAGAGAAGGGGUAGAAGGAGGCAAGGAAGGGGGAAAGUGGAUCUCUUCUAGAAAAAUCAGACUGCGGACCUUCCCCCUGCGUUCACACUCCCCAUGGGGGCUGUCUUGAAAGAGGAAAAAAGAUAAAGGAACAGACUCAAGAGGUAACAUGGUUUGCCCAAAGUCACACAGUGGAGUGCAGAGAUGGGGCUCAAACUCACCUUCGUUACCUCCAAAGCUGGAGCUAUGGAUGACGGUUGAGCGCCCUGGGGGAAUUUCUGAGUCCCAACUAACAGCCAGGACGGCGGGGCAGCAGUCUUCAGUUGGUGCUGCCACCUAGGGACAAGACAGAGAACUGUGACCCAAACCUUCCCCUCCUUCCUUCCCUCCCCAGGCUCCAACCCCGCCCCCGGCUUGAGAGGCCCGCAGGGCUGAGCGCUCCCUCUGGCAGCCAACCACUGGGCGUUUUGGCGGAGGCCGCCUGGGUGCAGAGAGCUGAGCUCUAGAGUGAGCAGGUGCCUCCUCAGGCCUCCUCACUGUCUCCCAGCGCGCGGCUCUGAAGAAACAGUUGUUGAGUAAAUGACCAGGGAUGCAAAUCUCCACAGGCCUGGGACCCCGCUGGUCUCCACAGACAACCUGUGGAGACACUCCACUGUGAGGGUCAGGGAUGAGCACGUCCCGGCCUGGGCCAGCCUCUGCCUCAGUGGGGGUCCUGCACGAUCCCUUCCACGGAGCACAGACUGGCGCCCUGUGCCGUGUUAAGCAGCUUGUCUUGCAUUAUCUAAUUUCAUCCGAGACCCAAAGAGCUCAUCGUGGCCUGCCCGAGUUCUCAGCAGGGACUCGAACCCGGAUCCUCAGACUCCAAGGGCAGGGUUCUGCUUCAUCACUCUGCCCUGCCACCCC
RNAcentral lists this long non-coding RNA (1084 nucleotides) under Equus asinus (donkey). Its description in RNAcentral is "lncRNA (ENSEASG00005023923.1)". The record is from RNAcentral. Lineage: Eukaryota; Metazoa; Chordata; Mammalia; Perissodactyla; Equidae.